This 253-nucleotide ribosomal RNA is filed under the name uncultured bacterium. RNAcentral's name for it is "partial 16S ribosomal RNA". It matches the Rfam family "Bacterial small subunit ribosomal RNA", at positions 524 to 776 of the family's 1533-position model. The record is from RNAcentral.
UACGUAGGUGGCAAGCGUUACUCGGAAUUACUAGGCGUAAAGCGCAGGUAGGUGGUUGGGUAAGUCCGUAAUGAAAUCUCCCGGCUUAACCGGGAGGGGUUUAUGGAAACUGCCUGACUCGAGUGUGGGAGAGGUAACUGGAAUUCCAGGUGUAGCGGUGAAAUGCGUAGAUAUCUGGAGGAACACCAAUGGCGAAAGCAGGUUACUGGCCCAAUACUGACGCUGAGCUGCGAAAGCUAGGGGAGCAAACAGG